This is a long non-coding RNA of Eucalyptus grandis, 2731 nucleotides long. RefSeq lists it as uncharacterized. The record is from RefSeq and is a predicted model, not a curated record. The transcript has 2 exons. NCBI's taxonomy places the organism in Eukaryota, Viridiplantae, Streptophyta, Magnoliopsida, Myrtales, Myrtaceae.
AGUACUUGGAAGAGUUUUCAAUAAAAAAGUGCAGUUCAAUUGAAAGAUUGGACCUUUCACAAUUAAUUUGUCUUAAACGAUUAUGCGCCAAGCAUUGCAAUAACCUAGUUGAAGUUCAAGGUCAUGAUAAUUUGGAGUUCUUGGAGGGCAUAUUAAUAUGUGAUUGCAAUUCCAUUAAAAGGUUUCUCUGUCCAAAAGCACGGUUUUUGGAGGAAUUACAGGCCAUCGGGUGCAACAAUCUAGUCGAAAAUUGAGGUCUUGACGAUGUGUAGUUCUUAGAAAAAUUGGAUAUUACAUGACAAUGGAGACUUUGCCAAGUUUGACGGGAUGUGAGAAGUUACAAUCUCUACUAAUUAAAGACUACAAGAAACUUACUUAGCUUCAGGGACUUGUAAAGAUGGAUUCAGAUCUUUUGGAUAUUCAAGAUUGCGACUCAUUGGAAACGCUGCUAAAAUUAUCUAGAACAUGCAUCACUGGAAAUUACAAAAGAGAUCUAUCUCGAUCUCUCUGUUGAAAUAUUAUAUUACAGUGAUAAUGAUGUGAUGAAUCUUAUGCCCAUAUUACAUCAGUGAGACGAGUCAUGUUUCCUUGACAGAGGGUUCUGCACUUCCCUAAAUUGCUAGUAUUACAUAAUCGAAGGAGCAAGGGUGGUUGGUCAUAGAAGCUGACAUGAUGCUUCAGCCAAGAUCAAAAUAUAGACCCUAAUGUCAAUAGAAGGCCUUGGUUAUCUCAUAAGAUUCUUCAUCGUUGAACGGCCAGCAUGAGCGAAUGGAGUAACACUUUUCUUGAAGCUAUAUUUUUUAAGAAUGAUUUGCUCCACACCUGGUAUCUAUUUGAUUUAUUUUGGAGACUCUGGAUUUGCCAACAUAUAUUUGCUGUUGAUUACGUUAUCGCAAUGUUUUUCAUUUAUCCUUCCAUUGGCAGCUUUUGUAGACUGCAAACAGAUUAGCAACUUGUGAAACAAGAAUGAAAAUAUCAACAUAGCUCUCUGUAACUUGGGAAUUGAAUUUUUCAUCUAGAGGUCAAUGAUCUUCUGCUACUCAAUAUUGUAAACUAUGGCAACUAUCCAUUUUCCCUAUGUUCAAAAUUCAUAUUUUCUUUGAAAAAAAUCCUUGGCCAUUUUGAGUUCCUUUGUGAGUUCUGUUAUGUGUCAAAUUUGACUAAUGGCAGAUACCGUUGGGGAUAAACACAUUUCGAUUUUCCGUGAUGAACCCUGGCAAGUUUCUUAGUGUUCCCUAGAUGUUCCUCUUGAACCUUCUAGAUAAGCAUUAAUUCCAGUAAGUACAAGGAACUGAGCUAAAAUAAAAAUCAAAGGUCAAGUAUUUCUGGUUGGUGAUUAAAAAAAAAUGGAGAUUAUUUUUGGCUAGUCUCUCAUAUAUGAUUCUAGACUGCCUAUUCUUAACCUGCAGUCGAAUUAUUAUUUUGAAAGAUUAUCAAGCAAGGUAAAUUGGUAUUGUUUCUACGACGAGUCUGGUUGGUCUAUGUGAUGAUCAAGGCUUGCUUUGGGACUUCAAUUUGAUGAGCUGUAUCGAUGAUCUUUUGCAUGAUUGGGACAAAUUUUUUUCCCUUUAAACAAGCGGGGACGAGGAGCUCAAGAACUGUUUAAUAAGUCUGCAUCCCAUCCGAUCCUAUUGUUGUCAUGGAAUCGUUUUAUCACAUGAUUAAUCUGAGUCUGGCUAACUUGGCUGAGGAACUUCAAAUUCCAUGCUAGAGACCGAUCAAAAUGAAGAAGAUAUAUUUUGCAAAGGAGGCAUCAGCAACAGCUGAGGACCAUCUUUUGUGCCAACCUUAAAGAGGCUCAUGGGCCAACUGGAGUGUGUUUAGGAAGUUUUGAUGCUUGUGAGGAUCCAAAACACUAUAUCUGAUCUCAACAUCACAUGCCUGAAUGAUUUAAAUGUUGUAUUUUCAGUUGAGUCUGCUUUUGGUAUGCUCACGAGGUUCAACCUCUCUAUCAAUCAAAUGUGUAGCUACUGAUUCUUUUGUUUGUCACCCUAAUGCAGAGGUAUUUGAUGUCGUUGCAUUCUAAUGUUAUCACGCCUGAACUCAAUGAGGCUCUGUAGAGAGAGGUAUGCACUACUAGUCGUACCAUAACAAUGAAAAAAUAACUUGUGUGCUUAUACCAUAUGACCUGUGGAAUUUCACCUGAAAAUUAGUAAGCAAGUAUGCAUGAGGACAAUCUCCUCCAUUUCUUUCAGUUUAUCAAUGCGAUACUAUCCUUUGAAUGUUGUCAUAUAGGAUUCUGAUUUUUUUUUUUUUUUUAAUUUGAUAAGCUCAAUUCUCAUGAGAUGUUGACUUUGUAAAGUUGAAAUUCACCUCCUAGCAAAUUAUCUUGUACCGCUGAUUUUGUUAAUGGGAUAUUGCAAAAUAACCAAGUAACAAAUUCAUCUUUCUGUUCUGCAGUUUAGGCACUUCCAUCUUUUGAGCAUAAUUUUAUUAACAUCAAUUAUGUUCCUAACCACAAAAAAGGAAAGUGUUGCUAAUUGCUUUUGUCUCCAAAGCCUGUUGUUUUCUUUUUCAUUAGCCAACUGAUGAGUUUUUUGUUCAUUGCUGUCCAACUGCAAUUGGGGCAAAUGAUACUUUGUGCAUUUGUACCUUGUCUUUCACGGUGUAUAUUGUGAUGCUCCGAUCUUAGUUAUCUUCAUUCAUUAAUAAUUAGUAAAUCCUAUCCUUCUUGUGUAGAUUCAACCUGCAUUUCAUAAAAUUUAGAUAACAUCCCCAAACAUCACAGGAA